CAAAAUAGGAGCCUCUCUCUAAAAUUUGGAUCCGGCGACCUGGCAGCGACGAGACUGCGCGCGACCGCCGGCGACGCCCGCCACCGGCCCACCGUGCCCGUCGCGAGCCUCCGUCAAACUCGCGCCCCCAGGUGCAACCUCUGUCCCGGCACGACCCCGCUCCCCUAGAUUCUUCUUGAGGGCUGGAUGCAGAUCCUCCCGCGGCUCCAUUGCCGUCCCUCUCGUCGCAACCCAAGAAAGGCCCCGCCGCCCUUCGGGGUUCUCGCAAGCCAUAGAGGGUCCGAUGGCGGCUCGCCGGCGAGUGGACUUGGCGAAUGGGCGGGCAGCGAGGGAGUCAGCGGAGUCACUGCUGCCGUAGCAAGUGCUCUCCAGCGUCUCCCUUGCCUUGCAUAAUUAGCCACAAAUACUUGGGUCAUUCGGUGAUGGAAAGUUGGCAACGAUCUUGGAUAUUUGGAUGCACCUUUCUUUGUUCCAAGGAAUUUUCAAUGGCAACAUUGUUGAUGGAAAAUGGGACUGAAGGAAAUCUACAGUGUCUGCCCGACAGACUGAACUCUGAAGUUGCUCCUGUGAUACUGACAAAAAUGAUAAAGCUCAUUCUGUAACGCACAAAGAAGGAAUUCCUCAACCAUAAAUACUAAAGGAAACAAUCACAUCAAUGGCUUUCCACCACUCUGUUCACAUCAUUCACUGAAGGUAAAACCGCACUGUCACAGUGAAUAAGAAUAAGUAAGCAAAAUUUUGUGUUUACUGUCCUAACAGAACAGUGCUGCAAGAGCGUAACGAUUUCAACGACUUUGACACAGGCUUGUCUUAGCCUGGAAGUUCAGUUUUGCCAUGACCUAAACAUUCCUUUUCACUUCAAUGUCAAAGAGGUAAUUUAGCACAUUUCGGGUGAGAUAUAUCUCAGCCCAUGUGAUGACCAUUGUACCUUAGAUCAUAGGCAAACAUGUUGAGAAUCACCAGAGUGGCCGACUAAAGGUUAAGAGAUUCAGCCGUUAAGAUGCCAGGAUGUCACCAAGGGGUAUGAUCUACAUUCCCUGUUACAAAGGUUACAGCCACAAGCCUGAGGAAUAUGCCUCAGCCGGAGGACAUGGCAAAUGGUCUCAAGGUUCUAACCUUGAGCCCUUGACAUUGUCUAAGCUAUCCCUGGAGUGACAAGUGAGCAUGCCGAGCAACCAAGUCUCCUGCAUCUUUUGUUUUUUUGGAGGGUCAGUCACUCAGUCCCCUGCAUCUUUCUUCACCAGGCUCGCUCGGCCAACACCUCCUUCACUUUCAGGUCAUCCAUCAGGCCAUCAGCAUGCACCAUCCUUCCAUUACACUUUCUCUGGCUGCAUUACCAACUCUUCCAGUUUCUUCAGCCAGCAGCCAAUCUCCUCCAGCUCCAGGUGACGCACCGGGCACAGCACGGUCCGAUUUUUCAGCAUCUGCAAUAUGGCACGCCACAGCUGCAGCAAACUGCGCCAUCCACCAUCCUGAAACUGAAAACAAAUAUAAUUUCCUAGUUAACAACCACAUACUUGCUUGGAAAGCAUUUCCACUUCGGGAGGAAAACAUCUAUUCUUAACAGUAAAAUUCCUAAAAUAAUGGAUCAAAAUCCAGCAAAUUCAGGACUCACAUUCUGCAACUGUUCCCUCAUGUAUCCUUCUCGUGAACCAGGUGCGAGAGCUACUAGCUUACAUGCUAAUAUCCUCUUCCAUCAGAGCCAAUUUGUCUCCAACAUCGAAGAGUCUGUUCACUGUUUUCCAUAGCACCUAAAACCAUACUACUUCAGAAAUGGUAUAUAUUAGCUGCGGACCUGCUAAUCACAAUCCAAUCCUGCAGAAUGUGCAUACAUGAGGCGGCCUGUUAAAUGUUCAGACUUUUGGCUUUAGGACGGAAGUUUAAGUAUCUACUCCCUCCAUCCCAAAUUACUAUUCAUUUUGGUUUUUCUACAUACACAGCUUUUGAUAUGCAUAUAGAUAUGUACUUAUGUCUAGAUACAUAGGAAAAGCGUUGUAUCUAUAAAAGCCAAAACGAAUAGUAUUUUGGAACGGAGGGAGCAGAUGUGACGAAUAUUUUGAACAUCAUCAAUCGUGUUCUAAACAACCUGAACUAUCAGAAUCAGCGCAAAUAACGCUAAAUUCAAACCCUACCUAACACACACACGACACACCUUAUGAAUAGAAAAACACUAAUCUCUUACUGCACAAUUGGAUAUCGAACUCACCAAGACGGCUCGAGAUUUCACAGGACUUGCUCACCACCAAAACAAGUGCCAACAUCACAGUCAAACUCAAUCAGGCAAUAGAAGCACCUCCUGUCAGCCCAACGAAGCAAAGGAUGACCAUUAGUUGGGCGCACAAAAAUAAGCAGCCGGCAUAUCCGAAUUGAAUCCCAGAAAGCACAAAUCAAGGUCCCAAAUCCUAGGAUGCCAAAAGUUGGUCCAGGAAGCAAAUGGUUUUGUGCUUGAUACAAGUCUUCACAAAUGGCCAUACCAACAUGCUUCUCUACAGCUCGCACAGCUUUUUCUCGAGUAAGGUCAUCAGUAUUCAGUACUAUUGUUCUAUCAACAAAAUGGAAUCAUGACGAGAGCAACAGGAGGGAGUGCAAAACGAGAUCAACCAGUUGCAAAGCAGAGAAGAAUGCAGCUCUGCAAUGAUGGAACACCGGAAAGGAGCUGUCUAAUUGGACGGUUCAGGGCUCAUCUGAGCCAGAUUUGCUGGCAUUAGCAUCACCACAGGCAUCAUCACCCAUGCACAGAAAAGGAAGUGUCACUGAGCGCUAAGUAAUGAAGUGAUCCUGUCUCUCACUCAAGCACACUGCAGAGAGAUAUUGGGUCCUGCACUGACCAAAAGGGUAGCGGCAGAUCAGAGGACCUGGAAAAGGCUGGGAAACCAUGAGCCUCUGAUCCCAAAAUAUAGAGAUGCCUCGACAAAAUCAUUGCCAAUGCGAAGGAGUUACGCGCUUCCACAAUAAUUCCUUCGCUUCCACAAUCGCUGAAGAUUGACGGCAGCGUCGUCGUGCAUAGAGAAAAGGUGAUGUAGAAUCGAAGAGGAUGUUGUGGUGAUGAGGAAUCGAGAAUGAGAUGUGCACGUUGGAAAAGGGGACGCUGUGAUCAAGAUGGAACUGCAAAGAUCUGCAGAGGUCAAUGAUAAUGUCCUUAUGAUUUCAACAGGGAACGUGAAAGCACAAGCGCAAUGGAUGAUGCCUGCCACAAAUGGAAUUGGAUCAGACGCCUGGAGUCAAGGUCAUGCCUACAAAACAUCCUGUGCGCCUCUGUUUAUGCUGAAUGAUUGAUUGGCGAGCGAAAGCAGAUGGGCACCUGUAACUGAAAAACUGUAUGAACAUGACUUAUUUUCUAUAAAAAAAAAACAAGUGAAUGUUGUGUA
Long non-coding RNA from Setaria italica (foxtail millet), 3368 nucleotides. RefSeq lists it as uncharacterized. NCBI's taxonomy places the organism in Eukaryota, Viridiplantae, Streptophyta, Magnoliopsida, Poales, Poaceae. The record is from RefSeq and is a predicted model, not a curated record. The transcript has 3 exons.